CGAGCGAGGAGAGAGAAAAAGAGAGUUGCUUGGUCUAGCAGUGGGUAGUAUAUGGAGCACAUGAGUCAUCAAGAGCCCAGCAACAUGUAGAAAGAACAACCUCAAUGAUUAUAUUCAAUCUGGAUUCAAAGCGACACAUUCCACACCGUCUGCCCUUCUGUUCAUCACUGAAAAACUCCAUGCUGCGAGAUCGGCUAAACUAUCAUCUGUUGGACCUCUUAUCCUCCUGGACCUCUCAGCAGCAUUUGACAUGAAGAAGAAAAAAAAGAGAUCAAACCAGACCCUGUCCUUCUAAUAUCUAAGGUAAUACUCACCACAUA
Clarias gariepinus (North African catfish) is the source of this 320-nucleotide long non-coding RNA. RefSeq lists it as uncharacterized. The record is from RefSeq and is a predicted model, not a curated record. NCBI's taxonomy places the organism in Eukaryota, Metazoa, Chordata, Actinopteri, Siluriformes, Clariidae. The transcript is spliced from 3 exons.